This is a long non-coding RNA of Diceros bicornis minor, 639 nucleotides long. RefSeq lists it as uncharacterized. Lineage: Eukaryota; Metazoa; Chordata; Mammalia; Perissodactyla; Rhinocerotidae. The record is from RefSeq and is a predicted model, not a curated record. The transcript has 3 exons.
GCUUCUCCCAUCUUGGGGAGCAGGUGGCUGGACAGGAAUCGGGAAAAUCCAGUCUCAGCCAACAGUUACAGUUAAAUAAGUAAAUACGAAAAAGAAAAGUAAGUGGGGUGGGCUUUCCUUCCAUCACCUGUAUUACUCCCUGUAAAAGGCCUCAAAAGCAAUCUUUGCUUUUUUUUUCCGUUAGAAAAGAAAAGUGUCUGUGGGGCUCAAGUUUGAGUUGAAACCAGGCUCAGGGUCCACCUGUCCUCGCUGAUCCGUGGAUUUCUGUGUGACCAGCUUUGGGGCACAACCUGAAGACCCUCACAGUCACCUUCCCCAUCUCCACCCUCCAGUAUUCAUCAGACAGGAGCAAUGGCUCAGCCACAUUCCACUCCACUGAGAGGGUCCUGCAGAGCCUGGCCUGUGAAGGAUGGGGGAGCCACCUGUGUGGACGCUGUCUGCACCCACCACCGUGACCCCGUGGGCCACCAUGCCUCUGUGCUGGGAGCUGAGAGUCUCCACGUGUCUGCUCUUCCUCUCGGUGGCUCCAGGCUCUGCACCCUGGAGUUUAUGCAUGCAGAGAGAACACCAGCUGCAUUUCCGCAGCAUCAGCUGGAACCACAGCAACCCGGAGCCCACAUCCUCGGAGUACACUGCCCU